Molecule: ribosomal RNA, 492 nt
Filed under: uncultured bacterium
Lineage: Bacteria
Description: partial 16S ribosomal RNA
Rfam family: Bacterial small subunit ribosomal RNA
Source: RNAcentral
AGUGAACGCUGGCGGUAGGCCUAACAGAUGCAAGUCGAACGACAGCACAGUAAGAGCUUGCUCUUACGGGUGGCGAGUGGCGGACGGGUGAGGAAUACAUCGGAAUCUACUUUUUCGUGGGGGAUGACGUAGGGAAACUUACGCUAAUACCGCAUACGACCUACGGGUGAAAGCAGGGGAUCUUCGGACCUUGCGCGAUUGAAUGAGCCGAUGUCGGAUUAGCUAGUUGGCGGGGUAAAGGCCCACCAAGGCGACGAUCCGUAGCUGGUCUGAGAGGAUGAUCAGCCACACUGGAACUGAGACACGGUCCAGACUCCUACGGGAGGCAGCAGUGGGGAAUAUUGGACAAUGGGCGCAAGCCUGAUCCAGCCAUACCGCGUGGGUGAAGAAGGCCUUCGGGUUGUAAAGCCCUUUUGUUGGGAAAGAAAAGCAGCAGGUUAAUACCCCGCUGUUCUGACGGUACCCAAAGAAUAAGCACCGGCUAACUUCGUG